CCUACGGGUGGCAGCAGUGAGGAAUAUUGGUCAAUGGACGAGAGUCUGAACCAGCCAAGUAGCGUGAAGGAUGACUGCCCUAUGGGUUGUAAACUUCUUUUAUAUGGGAAUAAAAUGUUCCACGUGUGGGCUUUUGUAUGUACCCUAUGAAUAAGGAUCGGCUAACUCCGUGCCAGCAGCCGCGGUAAUACGGAGGAUCCGAGCGUUAUCCGGAUUUAUUGGGUUUAAAGGGAGCGUAGGUGGAUUGUUAAGUCAGUUGUGAAAGUUUGCGGCUCAACCGUAAAAUUGCAGUUGAAACUGGCAGUCUUGAGUACAGUAGAGGUGGGCGGAAUUCGUGGUGUAGCGGUGAAAUGCUUAGAUAUCACGAAGAACUCCGAUUGCGAAGGCAGUUCACUGGACUGCAACUGACACUGAGGCUCGAAAGUGUGGGUAUCAAACAGGAUUAGAUACCCCUGUAGUC
This 460-nucleotide ribosomal RNA is filed under the name uncultured bacterium. Its description in RNAcentral is "partial 16S ribosomal RNA". It matches the Rfam family "Bacterial small subunit ribosomal RNA", at positions 338 to 795 of the family's 1533-position model. The record is from RNAcentral.